This 475-nucleotide ribosomal RNA is filed under the name Arthrobacter agilis. RNAcentral's name for it is "bacterial SSU rRNA". It matches the Rfam family "Bacterial small subunit ribosomal RNA", at positions 764 to 1237 of the family's 1533-position model. The record is from RNAcentral. Lineage: Bacteria; Bacillati; Actinomycetota; Actinomycetes; Micrococcales; Micrococcaceae.
GGGAGCGAACAGGAUUAGAUACCCUGGUAGUCCAUGCCGUAAACGUUGGGCACUAGGUGUGGGGGACAUUCCACGUUUUCCGCGCCGUACCUAACGCAUUAAGUGCCCCGCCUGGGGAGUACGGCCGCAAGGCUAAAACUCAAAGGAAUUGACGGGGGCCCGCACAAGCGGCGGAGCAUGCGGAUUAAUUCAAUGCAACGCGAAAAACCUUACCAAGGCUUGACAUGAACCGGAAUGAUGCAAAAAUGUGUCAGCCACUUGUGGCCGGUUUACAGGUGGUGCAUGGUUGUCUUCAGCUCGUGUCUUGAAAUGUUGGGUUAAGUCCCGCAACGAGCGCAACCCUCGUUCCAUGUUGCCAGCGGGUUAUGCCGGGGACUCAUGGGAGACUGCCGGGGUCAACUCGGAGGAAGGUGGGGACAACUUCAAAUCAUCAUGCCCCUUAUGUCUUGGGCUUCACGCAUGCUACAAUGGCCGG